GACAUCAGGAGGUUAGUGCAAUGGCAUAAGCCAGCUUGACUGCGAGCGUGACGGCGCGAGCAGGUGCGAAAGCAGGUCAUAGUGAUCCGGUGGUUCUGAAUGGAAGGGCCAUCGCUCAACGGAUAAAAGGUACUCCGGGGAUAACAGGCUGAUACCGCCCAAGAGUUCAUAUCGACGGCGGUGUUUGGCACCUCGAUGUCGGCUCAUCACAUCCUGGGGCUGAAGUAGGUCCCAAGGGUAUGGCUGUUCGCCAUUUAAAGUGGUACGCGAGCUGGGUUUAGAACGUCGUGAGACAGUUCGGUCCCUAUCUGCCGUGGGCGCUGGAGAACUGAGGGGGGCUGCUCCUAGUACGAGAGGACCGGAGUGGACGCAUCACUGGUGUUCGGGUUGUCAUGCCAAUGGCACUGCCCGGUAGCUAAAUGCGGAAGAGAUAAGUGCUGAAAGCAUCUAAGCACGAAACUUGCCCCGAGAUGAGUUCUCCCUGAGACUUAAAGUCUCCUGAAGGAACGUUGAAGACGACGACGUUGAUAGGCCGGGUGUGUAAGCGCAGCGAUGCGUUGAGCUAACCGGUACUAAUGAACCGUGAGGCUUAACCUUA
RNAcentral lists this ribosomal RNA (598 nucleotides) under Salmonella enterica subsp. enterica serovar Enteritidis. Its description in RNAcentral is "partial 23S ribosomal RNA". It matches the Rfam family "Bacterial large subunit ribosomal RNA", at positions 2334 to 2925 of the family's 2925-position model. Lineage: Bacteria; Pseudomonadati; Pseudomonadota; Gammaproteobacteria; Enterobacterales; Enterobacteriaceae. The record is from RNAcentral.